UUUAUUAUAUAGUUAAAAUACAGAGAACAAACCAUUGCUAAUUUUUAUCAAACUACAUGAAUUUUUUUCUGUUGCAAUUCACAAUUAGAAUUAUGUGUGUGUCAAUGUGUAUUUUAUACUUGAAGGUAAUGUUGUAAAUCUUGAAGUCUUUUAUUAAGUUUCAAUGGUUAAAAAAACAAGAUUUGGUUUACCGACUGUUGCAAUAUGUUCAGUGCCCAAUAACUUGAGAUAAAAAAUACUGUACAAAAAAUGUUUAUUCAAAAAGCUUUUUCCUUUUAAUAUUCUAAUUGUCCAGUGUUUUCUCAGUAGCAAUUUGAAUUCAUCUCUUCAAAUGAGGUAAAAAAGGUUGAUACUAGCUAUAGUCUAUGAAGAAAGUGCAGUGCAAUAAAUUUAUGUACACCAUCCAAUUCAAGUCAUUGGCGUAGGUUUCAUCAAGAAGUACAUUUACAUGUAGGUGUAAUUUGAACACCUAGUUAUAAAGAAAAGUAGUUUCAAUAAAAAUGUUGACACAGAGAUAGGUCUUGAUUUUAAGUUAUUUUGAUAGUACUAUAAUAUAAUGUAUAAUGCAUAUAGGUUAAAAUGUGCAUUUAAAAAAAAACCAUGUCAAAUAUGUAAAACGUUAAAAGUCAAAGACCCAUGACUGAAGAUACAGGGCUAAAUUACCUCUGUGAAAAAAAGAAAAAUGCCAAUGCUAAUGCAACUGCAAUCCAAAUAAGAUUGGCUUAACACUAAUGGUACCACUUAUACGAGGGUAGUAAUGCCCUUUAACGUCAGGUGUCAAACAGUUAUUUCGGCUACCGUUAGCGUCAAAUUGGUAAUUUUUUUACCAUGAUUUGUCAAAAUAUCCAUAUUGUGAUUCGCCAGUGUACAUUUUAUUUUUAUAAAAUUACCAUUAACAUCAUUUGGCAAGAACCUUUUCCGUUAUUCGUCAAAAAGGUACCCCCAUUAUGACCCUCUUAUACUAUAUAUCACGAACAAAUAACUCCCAAGUUUCAAAAUAGUAUGUCUUGUAUAUCAGCUUCCAUCAUAAUGACACUAAAUAAGUAAUUAAAUUGUUUUAAUCAUUGUAUAAAGGAAAAAAGAUAUAAAUACAUGUAGCUGAUGAAGCUGAAACAAAGCGACUGAGCAGUGUGAUAUUGGUGAAGGGAGUGACAAUAGAAAAUGUAUAACAAGUACAGAAAACAAAGAAAUAAAUCAUUGUAUAAUAAAACAAUUCAAGAGCUAAUUUCUUAUAAUAUGUCAUAAUGAUGGAAGUCUUAAUAUACAAGUCAAAAUUUUUAAACUUGUGUUCAUGAUAAAGUAUGUGUGAACCAGUUACAAGACACAUACAAUCAAUCACUGGAUGGUAAGAACAUUUUAACUGUACUUGCUUCAUGCUAACAAAUACUAGCAAGUACUAGCAAUGGGCAAAACCAUUUAAACACUUAAUAACAAGUUUGAAGAGAUGAAUCCAUACUACACAUUUUUAGCAAAUUGCUAUUAUGUAAGGACAAAGCUUUUUGAAUAUGCACUGCAUUAAAGUAAUAAUUUAGUUCUAUAUUUUCCCCUUGAAAGACUUUUGAUAGUGCUUUGUACCUGUAAAAACAUAAUGUAUAAACCUGAUCUUAUAAUUUUACACACUUUAAAAAAAUCAUGUUUAAAUGGGAUCAUUAAAAAGAAUAUUUCUUGGUUGAUUUGGUUCUGAUUUAUUUGCUUGUUUGGUUUCCCUUGAUUUAUUCAUAUUCCUUCUAUCACAAAGUUAAAAUUUCUUCACUUUCAUGACUUCUGAGUUCAUCUGUGUAUCUACAAAAAGAGAAAAGGAACUAUGAAUUAUUGAGCAUUAGUAAA
Molecule: long non-coding RNA, 1827 nt
Filed under: Mytilus galloprovincialis (Mediterranean mussel)
Lineage: Eukaryota; Metazoa; Mollusca; Bivalvia; Mytilida; Mytilidae
Source: RNAcentral